RNAcentral lists this unclassified non-coding RNA (496 nucleotides) under Zea mays. RNAcentral's name for it is "misc RNA Zm00001eb250430". The record is from RNAcentral. Lineage: Eukaryota; Viridiplantae; Streptophyta; Magnoliopsida; Poales; Poaceae.
UUUUAACCAUAAAUUACUUGCAGGUGAUAGACUGUUACAUAAAUUUAAUAAAAACUAAACAGCAACUAAAAUGCAGAUCUGGAGGUCGUGUACACAUAGAAAAUGCUCUUCAGUUCAACUUUUUAAAGCGAGACAGUGAUGUUAAAACUAAAACAGAUGAGCUAUAUCUAAUUACAGACAUGACACAAAUAUGUAGUGCUGAACGAAGGGUUUUACUCCACCUAGACCAUGAUAUGGUGUUUAUUCCAAUAAACAUCCGAGGAAUGCACUGGUAUCUUACCGUCAUCAAUGCAAGAAAUAUAGAGAUACAAGUACUCGAUUCACUUGGUACUACAUUUGACCGCAAUGACCUCACUGACUCGAUUAAAGGGCAGCAAAGGCAAAUUAAUAUGGUAUCUCAGCGUAAAGAGUUAAAAGAUCACAGGUGACCAAACCUCCAAGUUGCUUAUUGGCCGCUGAGAGAAAUAGAUAUGGGAUAUGCAAAGCAGACAGAUGG